GCCUGGGUGGCUUAUUUGGUUAAGCAUCUGCCUUUGGCUCAGGUCAUGAUCCCAGAGCUGUGGGAUCAAGUCCCACAUCAGGCU
This 84-nucleotide transfer RNA is filed under the name Ailuropoda melanoleuca (giant panda). It matches the Rfam family "tRNA". Rfam says of the family: Transfer RNA (tRNA) molecules are approximately 80 nucleotides in length. Their secondary structure includes four short double-helical elements and three loops (D, anti-codon, and T loops). The record is from Rfam by way of RNAcentral. Lineage: Eukaryota; Metazoa; Chordata; Mammalia; Carnivora; Ursidae.